This 82-nucleotide transfer RNA is filed under the name Cordylochernes scorpioides. RNAcentral describes it as "tRNA-Leu". The record is from RNAcentral. Lineage: Eukaryota; Metazoa; Arthropoda; Arachnida; Pseudoscorpiones; Chernetidae.
UGGCAGCGGUGGGAUUCGAAACCACGCCUCCAAAGAGACUGGUGCCUUAAACCAGCGCCUUAGACCGCUCGGCCACGCUACC